GACGAACGCUGGCGGCGUGCUUAACACAUGCAAGUCGAACGGAAAGGCCCUGCUUUUGUGGGGUGCUCGAGUGGCGAACGGGUGAGUAACACGUGAGUAACCUGCCCUUGACUUUGGGAUAACUUCAGGAAACUGGGGCUAAUACCGGAUAGGAGCUCCUGCUGCAUGGUGGGGGUUGGAAAGUUUCGGCUGUUGGGGCUGGACUCGCGGCUUAUCAGCUUGUUGGUGGGGUAGUGGCUUACCAAGGCUUUGACGGGUAGCCGGCCUGAGAGGGUGACCGGCCACAUUGGGACUGCGAUACGGCCCAGACUCCUACGGGAGGCAGCAGUGGGGAAUAUUGCACAAUGGGCGGAAGCCUGAUGAAGCAACGCCGCGUGCGGGAUGACGGCCUUCGGGUUGUAAACCGCUUUCGCCUGUGACGAAGCGUGAGUGACGGUAAUGGGUAAAGAAGCACCGGCUAACUACGUG
RNAcentral lists this ribosomal RNA (468 nucleotides) under uncultured bacterium. RNAcentral's name for it is "partial 16S ribosomal RNA". It matches the Rfam family "Bacterial small subunit ribosomal RNA", at positions 28 to 507 of the family's 1533-position model. The record is from RNAcentral.